This 163-nucleotide ribosomal RNA is filed under the name Baratranthus axanthus. RNAcentral's name for it is "5.8S ribosomal RNA". It matches the Rfam family "5.8S ribosomal RNA". From Rfam's summary of the family: 5.8S ribosomal RNA (5.8S rRNA) is a component of the large subunit of the eukaryotic ribosome. It is transcribed by RNA polymerase I as part of the 45S precursor that also contains 18S and 28S rRNA. Functionally, it is thought that 5.8S rRNA may be involved in ribosome translocation. The record is from RNAcentral. Lineage: Eukaryota; Viridiplantae; Streptophyta; Magnoliopsida; Santalales; Loranthaceae.
AUAAUGACUCUCGGCAACGGAUAUCUCGGCUCUCGCAUCGAUGAAGAACGCAGCGAAAUGCGAUACCUGGUGUGAAUUGCAGAAUCCCGUGAAUCAUCGAGUCUUUGAACGCAAGUUGCGCCCGAGGCCUUUUGGCCGAGGGCACGCCUGCCUGGGCGUCACG